UACGAAGGGGGCUAGCGUUGCUCGGAAUUACUGGGCGUAAAGCGCACGUAGGCGGCUUUCUAAGUCGGGGGUGGAAUCCUGGAGCUCAACUCCAGAACUGCCUUCGAUACUGGAAAGCUCGAGUCCGGGAGAGGUGAGUGGAACUGCGAGUGUAGAGGUGAAAUUCGUAGAUAUUCGCAAGAACACCAGUGGCGAAGGCGGCUCACUGGCCCGGUACUGCCGCUGAGGUGCGAAAGCGUGGGGAGCAAACAGG
This 253-nucleotide ribosomal RNA is filed under the name uncultured bacterium. RNAcentral's name for it is "partial 16S ribosomal RNA". It matches the Rfam family "Bacterial small subunit ribosomal RNA", at positions 524 to 776 of the family's 1533-position model. The record is from RNAcentral.